This is a long non-coding RNA of Panicum virgatum (switchgrass), 1061 nucleotides long. RefSeq lists it as uncharacterized. The record is from RefSeq and is a predicted model, not a curated record. The transcript has 2 exons. NCBI's taxonomy places the organism in Eukaryota, Viridiplantae, Streptophyta, Magnoliopsida, Poales, Poaceae.
CUCCCCGCCGCCGCUCUGCUCACUAAGAGGCACCCCCAGCCCACCGCCGCCUCCUGCCGUGCCCUCGCUGUCGCCGCCUCUCGCCACCUCCGCUGGCGCGAAGCCCGCGCCCCCAUCGCCACCUGCCACCGCGCAGUCACCCCCGCCCUCGCCCUUGCCUCCGUCGUCACCUCCCGACGCGUCCUCACCCCGCGCCCCGUCGCCGCCUCCCUCCGCACAGUUGCCCUCGCCGUCGGCCCCGUCGUCGCCUCCCGCGCGCCGUCGCUGUUGUCCCCAUCGCCGCCUCCCGUCGCGCCCAACGUCGCCGCCAAGUCCGUCGCCGCCUCCCUUGCGAAGGGGCCGGGUGUCUAGGUCGCCGUUGACCUCCCCCCCCUCCCCCCCCCCCCCCCCCCCCCCCCACCCUCCGCCUGCGGCCCACGUCGCCUCCUCCACCAGCGCGCUCGCCUCUCGGCUCCAACAACGUCGCCACCAUUGCCACGGAAAAAUCAUUGAAGCCACCAAUGCUCUGCCUCAGUCCACAAACAUAUAGCAGUUAAAACUGACGUCAAGAUCACAGUAACGAGAUAAUUCAGUUCACAAGCAUAUCUAUGAUGAAAUAAGUAGCCAGAGAACACAACUAUUGAGUACCACACAAUGGUGGAGGUUCUGCAUCCAUUUGGAUACACAGGCGACACGGAGUUGCACUACCUCCUUCCCGAUCCAGGGAUUGAUGUGUCAGCUGGGUUAGUCAAGAUCAAUGGAGCAGAUGUAAAGCUAAUGGUGAAUGCUCAUGCUAAAGCAGGGAUUCUUUAGUGAACAAAUUGGAAUCUCCGGACUUAUGGCGUCUCCCAGAGGAUUCUUAAAUGCUUAGGUUGUGGUUUCAUUUUUGAGAACCGAGAUUUGUUUACCAAUUGAAGACUUGGGCUGUGUUUCUUCAUUUUCGUUUUUGUUAGAUGAGACUGGUAGGAAAUUUGUUUAUUAUUAAGUUGCUUGUUAAGUUGAGUGAUUUGUUUGUUCAAUGGGUACAAGGCUUACAACAUUUCACUUCAGCUGUACAUUAUGAUCACUGAGAUGCUUUUGUA